GCGACCGCACAAAAGUUUUUAACAAUGCUGUCAGACCUGACGAGAUCUGUCAACGAACUGCGUGAGGAGGUCAGAGCCAUCCGCAAUACCGGCUCAAAUGAAUCUCUAGAUGCUGGGGUACUCCCUUUGGAUUUGCCCUUAAACAGCAUUGAGGAGCUAAACCAUGCAGAGGCAGCUCUUACGUCGCAAGAGGCAAUUAAGGCAAUGGUGAGACGCUUUGCCUUGAUUGGAGGGACCACACUUGAGGUGCGAGUCCGCCGUGUAAUGGCUUAUGCCAUUACAAAUGAGCUGGCCUCACUACUAAACUGGGCAGGGAAAAAAACAAAGGACCACACGAAACAAAAAAGGGCAUUUAAAGAUACUGCGCUGUGCAGAUGCAUAUUUGAUGGCCUGACGCAGCAGUUAGGGGCAAACUCGAUGUCAGAGUUUCUCUUUGCACAGGCAGUGCAGAAGUGGCUACGGUACGCC
Long non-coding RNA from Oreochromis aureus, 468 nucleotides. The record is from Ensembl. NCBI's taxonomy places the organism in Eukaryota, Metazoa, Chordata, Actinopteri, Cichliformes, Cichlidae.